This 440-nucleotide ribosomal RNA is filed under the name uncultured bacterium. RNAcentral's name for it is "partial 16S ribosomal RNA". It matches the Rfam family "Bacterial small subunit ribosomal RNA", at positions 338 to 795 of the family's 1533-position model. The record is from RNAcentral.
CCUACGGGAUGCAGCAGUGGGGAAUAUUGCACAAUGGGGGAAACCCUGAUGCCGCGACGCCGCGUGAGCGAUGAAGUAUUUCGGUAUGUAACGCUCUAUCAGCAGGGAAGAAGAUGACGGUACCUGACUAAGAAGCCCCGGCUAACUACGUGCCAGCAGCCGCGGUAAUACGUAGGGGGCAAGCGUUAUCCGGAUUUACUGGGUGGAACGGGAGCGUAGACGGCGAUGCAAGCCAGAUGUGAAAGCCCGGGGCUCAACCCCGGGACUGCAUUUGGAACUGUGUGGCUGGAGUGUCGGAGAGGCAGGCGGAAUUCCUAGUGUAGCGGUGAAAUGCGUAGAUAUUAGGAGGAACACCAGUGGCGAAGGCGGCCUGCUGGACGAUGACUGACGUUGAGGCUCGAAAGCGUGGGGAGCAAACAGGAUUAGAUACCCUUGUAGUC